This 562-nucleotide ribosomal RNA is filed under the name uncultured bacterium. Its description in RNAcentral is "partial 16S ribosomal RNA". It matches the Rfam family "Bacterial small subunit ribosomal RNA", at positions 355 to 937 of the family's 1533-position model. The record is from RNAcentral.
UGGGGAAUAUUGCACAAUGGGCGAAAGCCUGAUGCAGCAACGCCGCGUGAGUGAUGAAGGCCUUCGGGUUGUAAAGCUCUGUCUUUUGGGACGAUAAUGACGGUACCAAAGGAGGAAGCCACGGCUAACUACGUGCCAGCAGCCGCGGUAAUACGUAGGUGGCAAGCGUUGUCCGGAUUUACUGGGCGUAAAGGAUGCGUAGGCGGAUUUUUAAGUGAGAUGUGAAAUACCCGGGCUUAACUUGGGUGCUGCAUUUCAAACUGGGAAUCUAGAGUGCGGGAGAGGAGAAUGGAAUUCCUAGUGUAGCGGUGAAAUGCGUAGAGAUUAGGAAGAACACCAGUGGCGAAGGCGAUUCUCUGGACCGUAACUGACGCUGAGGCAUGAAAGCGUGGGUAGCAAACAGGAUUAGAUACCCUGGUAGUCCACGCCGUAAACGAUGAGUACUAGGUGUAGGAGGUAUCGACCCCUUCUGUGCCGCAGUUAACACAAUCAAGUACUCCGCCUGGGAAGUACGAUCGCAAGAUUAAAACUUAAAUGAAUUGACGGGGUCAUAGCUGUUUCC